RNAcentral lists this long non-coding RNA (802 nucleotides) under Falco tinnunculus (common kestrel). RNAcentral describes it as "lncRNA (ENSFTIG00000010036.1)". Lineage: Eukaryota; Metazoa; Chordata; Aves; Falconiformes; Falconidae. The record is from RNAcentral.
AUAUUUAUUUGAACAGGUCAGUGAGGGCAUUAUUGGGAGGCAGAAGGAAAGGUGGGUUUAGUGGGGCUUCUGCUUUGGUUAACAAACCUUAGAUGCGAAUUCUUGUCUGAACACACAACUUCUGGGAGUUCGUUCAGCCUUGGAUAAUUACUCAGUGGGACACAUCUGGUUCUUACGGAGUCAGCACUCCCACCAGCUUCACUGGGACUACUACUGCAGGACUCAGCCCCACAUGAGCUAAACAGAGAAGAGAGAUGAAGCUGUUUUUCUGAGGCAGAGAACAAUCAUUGGCAAAAUAAAUCCACUGACGGAUGGAAAGAAAAUAUUACUGCAUCAUUAUGUCAACCUUUAGGAAACCACUCUAAGAUUUCUUGAGGAGGAGUUCUGCAGAUGAAGUGCUUGCAAGAUCAGAUCUAUUAAAAUCAACUCUCAAAAUACUGAACACACAGAGCUAAAGAAGUACUUGGUUAAGAAGCAGAAUCCAGACCUCAAAAUCCUGGAAGGCAUCUCUCCUUGGCUACAGAAGGAGCUGUUAGCAAACCACUCACUCUGGCUGGAUUUCCUUUUUUAUUUGGAAAUGAAGGACUUACUAGCUUCAUGCCUCAGUGAACAAAGACCUUUCAAGAACAUUUCACUGCUGUUCUCAAACCAAAGAUAUCUGCAAACCGCACAGCUCUCCUAGUGAGUUCUCCCAGUGACAGAUGAAGUUUCAUCAGUAGAAUGGCUAUCAUAGGACUGGGAGCCUGGAGCCAAGGCUGAAUUGUGAGUACCCAAAUCAUGGCUCGACCUUAACUGCUUGUAU